This is a long non-coding RNA of Melospiza melodia melodia, 1235 nucleotides long. RefSeq lists it as uncharacterized. The record is from RefSeq and is a predicted model, not a curated record. The transcript is spliced from 4 exons. Lineage: Eukaryota; Metazoa; Chordata; Aves; Passeriformes; Passerellidae.
UAGGAUAUAUACAAAGAUACAUACUUGAAAGUCCGUAGAGGAAACAAAUUUUUACGCCUUCUGUUUGACUGUUUGUCAUAUAUUUGGUUUUAUUUCCCAGGGAUCAGUGAAUUUUAACUCUGGAGUCCUCUAUGCUAAGGAUGCUCAGCUUACAGAUGAUGAAAUGUUCAGUAAUGUAUUUGCUGGAGCUGUGCUUACCCAAGGUUUGGGUAAAACAAGCUUUGGGUUCCUUCUGUCUCACUGGGAGUUGCCCAAUUCAGUUGCAUCUGGUGAAAUUCACCCUGAGACCUUACAGAACUAGCUCCAACUACGUGAGAGCCAUUUGCAGUUCUCUCCAGACACCUGGAGAAUGGGCGACGUUUCUGAGGAUCCGGCGAGCGUGCUUCUAUCAAAACUCAGUCUGUGAAAUUUCUGGGGAAAACACUUCUGUGUCCUGAAGGGUUCAAACUCUGGUGAGGAUCCAGUUAUCAGGUGCUCACCUGGAUGGUUCCAGCUCCCAAAGGGAAAGGCUCUCGUAUCCUUGUCGUCGGGCUCGGUGCUGUCCAAGAAGAUACAGAGACUAAAAAAAUCAUAAGAAGCAAAAUAUGACUGCAGGGAAAAGAAGCUGGAGAGAACAGAAGACAUUGCUCCACUCCCCAGAGGAUUAUUGUGAGCAGAUGUGAGCUCUGCUGUCCCUUUGGACUGACAAAGACAGAGGUUUUGUCCCAAGUUGCUUUUGAACCUGUCCUGCACCCGUUACGAGUCCUCAGUCUCCUGCAAUUUUGUGGGUCAGUCACAUGUAAAACAGCACAGCUGGCUGGCAUGCUUUGCUCAUGAGGGGAGACAAGAGAAGAAUCCCUCUGCUCACACCAGACCUGCAGCUGCCAAACCUCACCAAAGCACCUGAGGAGCCCCCAGGGACUGAUGGUACAGAAGGGAGGUGAUGGAGGACAGCACAGCAGGCAGCCUGCCCUCCAUCUGGCUGUGAAGAAGGCAGGGCUGGGAACUGUCAGCAACAUCCCAGCAGGUCUGGCUGAUGGUGCCACCCUGAGGGCUUCCCCUGCCUUUGGGCAGUCCCAGCUGCUGCAGCUCACUUGACAGAGACUCAUUGUCUAUACUGUGCUUGGCUGCACUGGAGAUGAUGAAGCCGAGGACAGCAAUGGUUGCCUUCACAUCCCCUGACUGCAGAUGGGAAGGAGGGCGAGCUCUGUCACCUUGGGAAGGCCUCUGCAGAGUCACUGCUGCCCGUCUCUGGA